GGGUUAAAGGGGUUCCCAACCGUGAAUAUUAAAUAAUAUAUACCGAUUUGAUUGGCCAAUUACUGUUUUAACACACGACGCCAUCAAUUUACGUGAAUAUUUUGGAAAUAUACAGACGAUAUUCCGCAAUCCACGGCUCCUAGGAAAGUUUCUUGUAGUGUAACGAAAAGCGGGAAAUACGCGUUUAUGUAGUUAAAAAUUUGUAAUUUUAAAUUAUUAACUUUUUUUUACAUUUAGGCUUCUUC
Molecule: long non-coding RNA, 245 nt
Filed under: Mytilus galloprovincialis (Mediterranean mussel)
Lineage: Eukaryota; Metazoa; Mollusca; Bivalvia; Mytilida; Mytilidae
Source: RNAcentral